RNAcentral lists this ribosomal RNA (457 nucleotides) under uncultured bacterium. Its description in RNAcentral is "partial 16S ribosomal RNA". It matches the Rfam family "Bacterial small subunit ribosomal RNA", at positions 338 to 795 of the family's 1533-position model. The record is from RNAcentral.
CCUACGGGAGGCAGCAGUGGGGAAUAUUGCACAAUGGGGGAAACCCUGAUGCAGCGACGCCGCGUGAGUGAAGAAGUAUUUCGGUAUGUAAAGCUCUAUCAGCAGGGAAGAAACCCACCCUCCGGGGUGGCUGACGGUACCUGACUAAGAAGCCCCGGCUAACUACGUGCCAGCAGCCGCGGUAAUACGUAGGGGGCAAGCGUUAUCCGGAUUUACUGGGUGUAAAGGGAGCGUAGGUGGCAAGGCAAGUCAGAUGUGAAAACCCGGGGCCCAACCCCGGGAGUGCAUUUGAAACUGUCUGGCUAGAGUGCAGGAGAGGUAAGGGGAAUUCCUAGGGGAGCGGUGAAAUGCAUAGAUAUUAGGAGGAACACCAGUGGCGAAGGCGGCUUACUGGACUGUAACUGACACUGAGGCUCGAAAGCGUGGGGAGCAAACAGGAUUAGAUACCCCUGUAGUC